AACAGGGUCUCACUCUGUCACCCAGGCUGGAGUUCAGUUGUGCAAUCAUGGCUCACUGCAUCAUCAAUCUCCUGGGUCUAAGUGAUCCUCCUCACUUCAGCCUCCGGAGUACCUGGGACCAUAGUGUCAGCUUAAUUUUGUGUAAAUAGUCUGGAAACAUGAUUUUCAUCACAGCAAGCAAAACUUGUAUAGACAUGUUUGUAAGAGGAUAUUUAUACACCACCCCAGGAUGCUCUUUCUCAACUGACAUCACCUGCAUUUAGUCCAUUUCAGUUCUUCCAUGGCUUUAUGUUUUCAGUAGGUUACAUUUUAAAAUUCAUCUGUAAUUUAUUGCAAUAUAAGGUAUAAGACAAAUUGAAUUUUAUUUCCUGAUAAUAUCUUAUUAUAAUUUAUUCAAGAAUUGUUCCUAUCCUCAAUUAUUUUGUAUACAAAUUCAGUUUCUAUUAAAUUAUGCUCCUGAUUCCUUCUGUUUAAUUAAAAUACCUUCCUUUUCACAUUUGUACAAGUGUUAAAAUUAAAUAACGUCUUAUAUGUAAUAAAGUAAGUCUCUAUUCUUUCUAAAAUGUCAAGACAAUUCUCAUCAGCUUUAAAAUUGUAAGUAACCUUUAGAAUCCUAGUGACAAAUACAA
This 629-nucleotide long non-coding RNA is filed under the name Homo sapiens (human). RNAcentral's name for it is "HSALNT0121755". The record is from RNAcentral. Lineage: Eukaryota; Metazoa; Chordata; Mammalia; Primates; Hominidae.